GCUUGUCUCAAAGAUUAAGCCAUGCAUGUCUAAGUAUAAACGAUUUUAUACGUGAAACUGCGAAUGGCUCAUUAUAUCAGUUAUAGUUUAUUUGAUGAUCUCUUACUACUUGGAUAACCGUAGUAAUUCUAGAGCUAAUACAUGCACAAAAUCCCGACUUACGAAGGGAUGUAUUUAUUAGAUACAAACCAACAUCGUGGUGAUUCAUAAUAACUUUGCGAAUCGUAUGCCUCACGGCGACGAUGAAUCAUUCAAAUUUCUGCCCUAUCAACUUUCGAUGGUAAGGUAUUGGCCUACCAUGGUUACAACGGGUAACGGGGAAUUAGGGUUCGGUUCCGGAGAGGGCGCCUGAGAAAUGGCGACCACAUCCAAGGAAGGCAGCAGG
Molecule: ribosomal RNA, 385 nt
Filed under: uncultured Katablepharidophyta
Lineage: Eukaryota; Cryptophyceae; Kathablepharidacea
Description: partial small subunit ribosomal RNA
Rfam family: Eukaryotic small subunit ribosomal RNA
Source: RNAcentral